RNAcentral lists this ribosomal RNA (963 nucleotides) under Triticum aestivum (bread wheat). RNAcentral's name for it is "partial small subunit ribosomal RNA". The record is from RNAcentral. Lineage: Eukaryota; Viridiplantae; Streptophyta; Magnoliopsida; Poales; Poaceae.
AUGUAUGGUACAACAUGCGAAGAAAUCAAGGCCGUCCGAUUGAGAAACACGAACGGACGGACAGGCGCGUCGCGUGGUCAGUCAGUGGAGGCACGACUCGGCGUCGGCCAUCUCCACGCCGUUGACGCUGCCGUCGGCGCCGGGCCGUCCGGCCUUGUACUUGUACCACCUGGCGGCGAAGAGGUAGACGACGAGGUUGGCGAGGCAGACCCCCGCGAGGAGCCAGUAGAACUUGUAGAGCUCGCCCUUGUUGAGGUCGUCGGCGAUCCACGGCCGGCGGUCACCCGUGAUCUUGUGCACGACGGUGACGAGCGCCGAGCUGACGAAGAAUCCGAGCGAGAGCGUGCUGAGGAAGAGCCCCGUGCUCAUGGUCUUCAUCCCCUUGGGGCACUCGCGCAGGAAGAAGUCGAGCUGGCCGAUGUAGGUGAAGGCCUCGCCGGCGCCGACAAAAAAGAACUGCGGGAUGAGCCAGAAGACCGUCAUGGGCACGGGGGCGCCCGCCGGGACUGCGGAGUCCCGAGCCACGCGGAGGCGCUUGACCUCUACGAGAGCGGCGGAGGUCAUGGCGAGGAUGGAGAGCACGAGGCCGAUGCCGAUCCGCUGGAGCGGGGUGAGCCCGUGCGGGUUGCCGUUGAGGCGGCGGGAUACGGGCACGACGAUGCGGUCGUAGAUGGGGACGGUGAGGAGGAUGGAGCCGACGAAGAAGACGGUGAGGGAGCCCGCCGGGAUCUGGAAGGAGGGGCCGAUGUGGCGGUCCAUGGUGGUGGCCUGCGACACCGAGAAGGUGGUCAUCUGCGCGUACACCGUCCAGAACAUGAUGGUCGUCGCCCAUAUCGGAAGCAUCCGCGCCACCGUCUUGACCUCCUCCACGUCCGUCAGCGUCGCAAGCUGCCACUUGGUCGGCUCGCCAGCGGGGUCCGAGUUGAUCGCCGCAUGGUCCAAGAAACUGCAAAGAUAAGUUGA